CGCCUGCCCUGUGACAAAGGUUUAACGGCCGCGGUAUUUUGACCGUGCAAAGGUAGCGCAAUCACUUGUCCUUUAAAUGAAGACCUGUAUGAAUGGCAUCACGAGGGCUUAACUGUCUCCUUUUUCCAGUCAAUGAAAUUGAUCCCCCCGUGCAGAAGCGGGGAUAAAACCAUAAGACGAGAAGACCCUAUGAAGCUUUAGACNAAAACAGAUCUUGUUAAACACCUCAAAAUAAAGAAACAAACNUAAAAGAAUGCUGUCCUGNAUGUCUUUGGUUGGGGCGACCACGGGGAAACGAAAAACCCCCAUGCGGACUGAGAAAACAAUUCUCACAAACAAGAGCCACAGCUCUAGUUAACAGAACUUCUGACCCUNUAGAUCCGGCAGUGCCGAUCAACGGACCGAGUUACUCUAGGGAUAACAGCGCAAUCCUCUUUUAGAGUUCCUAUCGACAAGAGGGUUUACGACCUCGAUGUUGGAUCAGGACAUCCUAAUGGUGCAGCAGCUAUUAAGGG
Molecule: ribosomal RNA, 515 nt
Filed under: Betta uberis
Lineage: Eukaryota; Metazoa; Chordata; Actinopteri; Anabantiformes; Osphronemidae
Description: partial 16S ribosomal RNA
Rfam family: Bacterial large subunit ribosomal RNA
Source: RNAcentral